UAUCUACCAUGUAUAUAUUAUACAUAUUUGCGUGAAAGCAGGAAAAGCAGGAGAAAACACUUGGAUCAAACUACAUGUGAAAUAACUCUAAAAGAGAAAGAGAGAAGGUAAGCAAGCAAAAGGAAGAGGGGAGGGGAGUAAAGCAUUCAACUCUUCAACUCUUAAGGCUAGAUAGAUAGAAAUCAAGUGCCAUCUGCGCCGGAGGACUCGAGGAGCGGCAUGAGGAGAGUGUUUGGAUUUGUGUAUCAUCAUCAUAUGGCAUGAUGUGUUAUGGAAACUUGAAGGGGCCGUGGAUUGCAGCUUUAUGGACAUACAAAAUACAUCUUGUUUAUGUGCAUGUGGAAGUUUUGAAGUUGAGGUGGCAUGGGUAUAGCCCCCUCCAGAGGAAGUAAGGUCGAUCUAAGGAAAACCAAAGCACUGAACUGUGUCGUGGUGGAAGUGAGGAAAUAAUGAAUACCUAUCUUGCGGGCGGGGAGGCUAAAAGAAGAGAGAGAGAGAGAGAGAGAGAGAGAGGAGAGAAAUAUGAACAAAGAAAGAAAGAAAAAGUCAAAGACAUGAGAGAUGUGAACAGAAUAAGAGAAAUAGAAAAGAAAAAAGAUAAACAGAUUGGAUAGAUAAUCACACACUGUCGAUGAGUUUCAAAAUACAAUAAUCCCUUUAUGGCCCCUGAUAUCA
RNAcentral lists this small RNA (675 nucleotides) under Histoplasma ohiense. RNAcentral describes it as "hypothetical lncRNA". Lineage: Eukaryota; Fungi; Ascomycota; Eurotiomycetes; Onygenales; Ajellomycetaceae. The record is from RNAcentral.